UGCGGGUGCCAGCAGCCGGGAGAAACUGAAGUUAGAGAGCCCCCUCCUCAAUCCCCCAUUUCUUUUGGCUUUUUGGUUGCCUGGGUGUACAGAGGAACAAAUUUGUGGUGUGGAAGGAUUCCAGGCCAGUCAUCUAUCAUGCACAGUGAAUACUCACUAGGCGCUCAUCACACGCUCGGCGGCCUCACCCUCUCCAAGAGAGCUCUGGCGGCGGUCCAGGGGCUGCCCAAGGUAAGGUGCUGUCUAGAAAGAAUCACGCUUGAGAAUGACAGCUGUCUGCCCUUCAAUAAGAUCUAUGAGUCUGACUCUCUCACCAGGCCCUUUUGGGGCAGGAGAAUAACAGAUUUGACGGUAAGCCACCAAGAUGUUGGACUAUCUGCCGGGGACCAGAAAGCUUAUAUAGGUUUCUGCAGAGUAAGAUGGCCCCAUUCCUGACCAUCCAGCUAGAGAAAGUUCUAUAGAGGCUCAGCUAGCAAAGCGCUCAGGUGGGCUGACCGCCCUCCAAAGCUGGGAAGGCCACCGGAGAACUGCAAACAGGAGAUCUGCUGCCCUCUUGUGGACACCUGUGGUUCUGCAGGAGGGUAAUGGGACUUGCAGCUUGCAGAGGUUGUUGGCUGGCCCACUACACCUGCCCAUCUUGAACUCGAAGAAUGAGUAGCUGAGAAAGGUUAGCUUGACCAUCCUAUGCAGAUGAGAAAUCUCUCAGCAUUGGUUCAUGGUGGCCAUGCUUUUCUUCAAGAGGAACAAAAGUCUCACCACUGAGA
RNAcentral lists this long non-coding RNA (764 nucleotides) under Rhinopithecus bieti (black snub-nosed monkey). RNAcentral's name for it is "lncRNA (ENSRBIG00000046513.1)". The record is from RNAcentral. Lineage: Eukaryota; Metazoa; Chordata; Mammalia; Primates; Cercopithecidae.